RNAcentral lists this ribosomal RNA (2906 nucleotides) under Escherichia coli. RNAcentral's name for it is "23S ribosomal RNA". It matches the Rfam family "Bacterial large subunit ribosomal RNA". Lineage: Bacteria; Pseudomonadati; Pseudomonadota; Gammaproteobacteria; Enterobacterales; Enterobacteriaceae. The record is from RNAcentral.
GGUUAAGCGACUAAGCGUACACGGUGGAUGCCCUGGCAGUCAGAGGCGAUGAAGGACGUGCUAAUCUGCGAUAAGCGUCGGUAAGGUGAUAUGAACCGUUAUAACCGGCGAUUUCCGAAUGGGGAAACCCAGUGUGUUUCGACACACUAUCAUUAACUGAAUCCAUAGGUUAAUGAGGCGAACCGGGGGAACUGAAACAUCUAAGUACCCCGAGGAAAAGAAAUCAACCGAGAUUCCCCCAGUAGCGGCGAGCGAACGGGGAGCAGCCCAGAGCCUGAAUCAGUAUGUGUGUUAGUGGAAGCGUCUGGAAAGGCGCGCGAUACAGGGUGACAGCCCCGUACACAAAAAUGCACAUAUUGUGAGCUCGAUGAGUAGGGCGGGACACGUGGUAUCCUGUCUGAAUAUGGGGGGACCAUCCUCCAAGGCUAAAUACUCCUGACUGACCGAUAGUGAACCAGUACCGUGAGGGAAAGGCGAAAAGAACCCCGGCGAGGGGAGUGAAAAAGAACCUGAAACCGUGUACGUACAAGCAGUGGGAGCACGCUUAGGCGUGUGACUGCGUACCUUUUGUAUAAUGGGUCAGCGACUUAUAUUCUGUAGCAAGGUUAACCGAAUAGGGGAGCCGAAGGGAAACCGAGUCUUAACUGGGCGUUAAGUUGCAGGGUAUAGACCCGAAACCCGGUGAUCUAGCCAUGGGCAGGUUGAAGGUUGGGUAACACUAACUGGAGGACCGAACCGACUAAUGUUGAAAAAUUAGCGGAUGACUUGUGGCUGGGGGUGAAAGGCCAAUCAAACCGGGAGAUAGCUGGUUCUCCCCGAAAGCUAUUUAGGUAGCGCCUCGUGAAUUCAUCUCCGGGGGUAGAGCACUGUUUCGGCAAGGGGGUCAUCCCGACUUACCAACCCGAUGCAAACUGCGAAUACCGGAGAAUGUUAUCACGGGAGACACACGGCGGGUGCUAACGUCCGUCGUGAAGAGGGAAACAACCCAGACCGCCAGCUAAGGUCCCAAAGUCAUGGUUAAGUGGGAAACGAUGUGGGAAGGCCCAGACAGCCAGGAUGUUGGCUUAGAAGCAGCCAUCAUUUAAAGAAAGCGUAAUAGCUCACUGGUCGAGUCGGCCUGCGCGGAAGAUGUAACGGGGCUAAACCAUGCACCGAAGCUGCGGCAGCGACGCUUAUGCGUUGUUGGGUAGGGGAGCGUUCUGUAAGCCUGCGAAGGUGUGCUGUGAGGCAUGCUGGAGGUAUCAGAAGUGCGAAUGCUGACAUAAGUAACGAUAAAGCGGGUGAAAAGCCCGCUCGCCGGAAGACCAAGGGUUCCUGUCCAACGUUAAUCGGGGCAGGGUGAGUCGACCCCUAAGGCGAGGCCGAAAGGCGUAGUCGAUGGGAAACAGGUUAAUAUUCCUGUACUUGGUGUUACUGCGAAGGGGGGACGGAGAAGGCUAUGUUGGCCGGGCGACGGUUGUCCCGGUUUAAGCGUGUAGGCUGGUUUUCCAGGCAAAUCCGGAAAAUCAAGGCUGAGGCGUGAUGACGAGGCACUACGGUGCUGAAGCAACAAAUGCCCUGCUUCCAGGAAAAGCCUCUAAGCAUCAGGUAACAUCAAAUCGUACCCCAAACCGACACAGGUGGUCAGGUAGAGAAUACCAAGGCGCUUGAGAGAACUCGGGUGAAGGAACUAGGCAAAAUGGUGCCGUAACUUCGGGAGAAGGCACGCUGAUAUGUAGGUGAAGUCCCUCGCGGAUGGAGCUGAAAUCAGUCGAAGAUACCAGCUGGCUGCAACUGUUUAUUAAAAACACAGCACUGUGCAAACACGAAAGUGGACGUAUACGGUGUGACGCCUGCCCGGUGCCGGAAGGUUAAUUGAUGGGGUUAGCCGCAAGGCGAAGCUCUUGAUCGAAGCCCCGGUAAACGGCGGCCGUAACUAUAACGGUCCUAAGGUAGCGAAAUUCCUUGUCGGGUAAGUUCCGACCUGCACGAAUGGCGUAAUGAUGGCCAGGCUGUCUCCACCCGAGACUCAGUGAAAUUGAACUCGCUGUGAAGAUGCAGUGUACCCGCGGCAAGACGGAAAGACCCCGUGAACCUUUACUAUAGCUUGACACUGAACAUUGAGCCUUGAUGUGUAGGAUAGGUGGGAGGCUUAGAAGUGUGGACGCCAGUCUGCAUGGAGCCGACCUUGAAAUACCACCCUUUAAUGUUUGAUGUUCUAACGUUGACCCGUAAUCCGGGUUGCGGACAGUGUCUGGUGGGUAGUUUGACUGGGGCGGUCUCCUCCUAAAGAGUAACGGAGGAGCACGAAGGUUGGCUAAUCCUGGUCGGACAUCAGGAGGUUAGUGCAAUGGCAUAAGCCAGCUUGACUGCGAGCGUGACGGCGCGAGCAGGUGCGAAAGCAGGUCAUAGUGAUCCGGUGGUUCUGAAUGGAAGGGCCAUCGCUCAACGGAUAAAAGGUACUCCGGGGAUAACAGGCUGAUACCGCCCAAGAGUUCAUAUCGACGGCGGUGUUUGGCACCUCGAUGUCGGCUCAUCACAUCCUGGGGCUGAAGUAGGUCCCAAGGGUAUGGCUGUUCGCCAUUUAAAGUGGUACGCGAGCUGGGUUUAGAACGUCGUGAGACAGUUCGGUCCCUAUCUGCCGUGGGCGCUGGAGAACUGAGGGGGGCUGCUCCUAGUACGAGAGGACCGGAGUGGACGCAUCACUGGUGUUCGGGUUGUCAUGCCAAUGGCACUGCCCGGUAGCUAAAUGCGGAAGAGAUAAGUGCUGAAAGCAUCUAAGCACGAAACUUGCCCCGAGAUGAGUUCUCCCUGACUCCUUGAGAGUCCUGAAGGAACGUUGAAGACGACGACGUUGAUAGGCCGGGUGUGUAAGCGCAGCGAUGCGUUGAGCUAACCGGUACUAAUGAACCGUGAGGCUUAACCUU